Molecule: transfer RNA, 63 nt
Filed under: unidentified
Description: Leptomias sp. DX-2020 tRNA-His
Source: RNAcentral
AUCUAGAUAGUUUAUUAAAAAUACUAAUUUGUGGAAUUGGAGAUAUGAAUUUCAUUCUAGAUA